This 253-nucleotide ribosomal RNA is filed under the name uncultured bacterium. Its description in RNAcentral is "partial 16S ribosomal RNA". It matches the Rfam family "Bacterial small subunit ribosomal RNA", at positions 524 to 776 of the family's 1533-position model. The record is from RNAcentral.
UACGGGGGGGGCAAGCGUUGUUCGGAAUUACUGGGCGUAAAGGGCUCGUAGGCGGCCAACUAAGUCGGACGUGAAAUCCCCAGGCUCAACCUGGGAACUGCGUCCGAUACUGGAUGGCUUGAAUCCGGGAGAGGGAUGCAGAAUUCCAGGUGUAGCGGUGAAAUGCGUAGAUAUCUGGAGGAACACCGGUGGCGAAGGCGGAUCUCUGGGCCUUACCUGACGCUCAGGUGCGAAAGCUAGGGGAGCAAACGGG